ACACGUGUUGGACAAUCUUUAUAACCUGCAGCGUGGUUUCCAUCGCAAUUUUUACAUUUAUAAUUUAACAAAUGGUCAUUUCCGGAAGUUUGAUGUUGUUUACAAUCGGCUGUCUUGUGAUUUUCUGCACAAAUACCACAUGAUGACUGGAUAUAACAUUGUUUUGCAGCGUGUCCAUAGCUUUGGCAGUUGUAACACCUGGUAGGACCGGAUGUCUUUUUUGCGUAGUAAUCAAAUCUCACAAUCGUGUUAUUAAUUGACCUAAUUUUAUUUUUUAGUUCAGAAAGUUUAAUUGAAUUCCUUUCCAGAUAUAAAAUAUAACCAUACCUGGUGAGUUCAUCUUUGAUUUCAUCAAUUUUCACGUGUUCGUCCAGACCAUAUAACACUAUUUUUGAUGGCUUGGUGUUUGGAAUUUCGUGUGUGAAGAAACUCCAUUUGGCCAUGUUGCCUUCAGCGCUUUUAUUUUCAUCAGAAAGGGCCUUAAUAAGCUUAUUAAAAUUUGUGAUAUCUGGGCAAAAUACGUGAAUACCGAUUGAACAAUUUUUAACGUUGGCUCCUUUAAUACCAAGUAAGGUGAUUUUUGAGUAGUGUUUACCGAUGUGUUCACAAUAAUUUCAUCUUGGUCCAUCAACUGGUUCAGCACCUCAAAUCGAUUAUUAGUUUGUGACAGAUUCAUCUUUUUACUGUUGUUAUGGUCAACAUUGUUGUCAUCCAGCGACGAACUUGAAUUUUUCCUUUUUGUGGAAAUUGUUUUCUUUUUUUUAUGUUUUUGUAAAGUAUAAUUAAGAUAAAUGUGGUUUAAAUAUAUAUGUAAAAAUCGUUUAUACAACUGUACUUAACGAGUGUUUAGCAACGAA
This is a long non-coding RNA of Condylostylus longicornis, 857 nucleotides long. RefSeq lists it as uncharacterized. The record is from RefSeq and is a predicted model, not a curated record. Lineage: Eukaryota; Metazoa; Arthropoda; Insecta; Diptera; Dolichopodidae. The transcript is spliced from 3 exons.